UAGCGUAUAUUAAAGUUGUUGCGGUUAAAAAGCUCGUAGUUGGAUCUCGGCGGCCAGGGGGCGGUUCGGUGUUCACCGCUACUGCCCCAUUUGGCCGUGUGGUUGGCGGAGGUUGUUGGGUGCUCUUCGUUGAGUGUCUAAUAGCGCCGUCAGGUUUACUUUGAAAAAAUUAGAGUGCUCAAAGCAGGCUUCACACGCUUGAAUAUUCGUGCAUGGAAUAAUGGAAUAGGAACUCGUUUCUAUUUUGUUGGUUUUCGGAAAUUGAGUUAAUGAUUAAUAGGGACAAUUGGGGGCAUUAGUAUUCAGGCGAC
RNAcentral lists this ribosomal RNA (311 nucleotides) under Cyclopina environmental sample. RNAcentral describes it as "SSU rRNA". It matches the Rfam family "Eukaryotic small subunit ribosomal RNA", at positions 595 to 906 of the family's 1831-position model. The record is from RNAcentral. Lineage: Eukaryota; Metazoa; Arthropoda; Copepoda; Cyclopoida; Cyclopinidae.